This 468-nucleotide ribosomal RNA is filed under the name uncultured bacterium. RNAcentral's name for it is "partial 16S ribosomal RNA". It matches the Rfam family "Bacterial small subunit ribosomal RNA", at positions 28 to 507 of the family's 1533-position model. The record is from RNAcentral.
GACGAACGCUGGCGGCGUGCUUAACACAUGCAAGUCGAACGGAAAGUCCCUUCUUUGUGGGGGUGCUCGAGUGGCGAACGGGUGAGUAACACGUGAGUAACCUGCCGUUGACUUUGGUAUAACUUCGUGAAACUGUGGCUAAUACCGGGUAGGAGCUCCUGCUGCAGUGUGGGGGUUGGUAUGUUUGGGCGGUUGGGUGUGUGCUCGCGUCUUCUCAGCUUGUGGGUGGGGUAGUGGCUGACCAAGGCUUUGACGGGUAGCCGGCCUGAGAGGGUGACCGGCCACAUUGGGACUGAGAUACGGCCCAGACUCCUACGGGAGGCAGCAGUGGGGAAUAUUGCACAAUGGGCGGAAGCCUGAUGCAGCAACGCCGCGUGCGGGAUGACGGCCUUCGGGUUGUAAACCGCUUUCGCCUGUGACGAAGCGUGAGUGACGGUAAUGGGUAAAGAAGCACCGGCUAACUACGUG